UACGGGGGGGGUAAGCGUUGUUCGGAUUCAUUGGGCGUAAAGGGUGCGUAGGCGGCGCGGUAAGUCGGGUGUGAAAUCUUGGAGCUUAACUCCGAAACUGCAUUCGAUACUGCCGUGCUUGAGGACUGGAGAGGAGACUGGAAUUUACGGUGUAGCGGUGAAAUGCGUAGAUAUCGUAAGGAAGACCAGUGGCGAAGGCGGGUCUCUGGACAGUUCCUGACGCUGAGGCACGAAGGCCAGGGGAGCAAACGGG
This 253-nucleotide ribosomal RNA is filed under the name uncultured bacterium. Its description in RNAcentral is "partial 16S ribosomal RNA". It matches the Rfam family "Bacterial small subunit ribosomal RNA", at positions 524 to 776 of the family's 1533-position model. The record is from RNAcentral.